CCGUGCAAUCUGCUGCUUUCUAUUCCCGAAGGACAGCUCAGUUUUGCUUUCGUUUUGUUUCUCCCAAUUUCUUCUGCCCUGUUUUACCCUCCCAACCCGAAAGCCACCUCCACCCUCUCUCCCUCCCAACAUCAAACAGAACCGCCCCUUACAUUUUCCUUCUUCUGUCCCGUCAAAUUUUCUGCUUGUUUAUUGUUUAAGCUCCAGGAAAAUCGAAGAGGCCUUAUCAUUUUCGAGUUAGAACUAGGGCUCUGACAAGGUUUUUGAUCUCAAAAUUUUGACAAGGUUGCCUGUCUCAAGAUUUCCUUGAUCUCCAUCCUUUCUGGAUAAAGCCAAUCCCAAGUGAAAAUCUGCCUCCUGGUUUUGAUCCCGUUGAAGGUUGCAAGCUUAAUUCUUUGCCUCUAGAAGAUAAUUAUAUCAGGUGUUUCAGAAUCAAAUAUUUCUUCUCAAGCUUCUCGAGGAACCAAAAGGAAAUGGGUUCCAGAAGAAGAUGCAGCAUUGGUUUCCUGCAUGGUGGACUUGCACAAUGUUGGAACAUUUAAUGCUGAUACCGGGUUCAAAGCUGGUUAUUUAAACGAGUUGGAAAAAAUGCUAGAAAAGGCUUCACCCAAUGCAAUGUUGAAGGCUAGACCUAAUAUUGAAUCGAGGAUUAGGUUACUAAAAAGGGAUUAGUCAAUCGUGUAUGACAUGCUUAAUGGCCAAAACAAUAGCGGUUUUGGUUGGGACGAGCAUAGGCAGCUCGUUGUUGCUGAAGAUGCGGUUUGAGACUCUUAUUUAAAUAGUCAUAAAGAAGCCGGUCAAUUCAGACAUCGUAGUUUCCCUUACUACGACCAACUUACUGCUAUAUAUGCAAGAGAUCGAGCGACUGGGAAAGAUGCUCAAACAGCCGCUGAUGUUAUUGAAGAAAUAAAUGUUCAGGAUGUACAUACUGCGGAUAUUAAUGAAGAAAGAAACGAAUUCUAUGACUGCGAAGCUGAUGUCUCUUUGGAUGAGAUGGAUGUUUCUGCUACGGAGCCGCAAACAGAUAGAAACCAAGGGGGUUCCUCAUCUUCAAAGAAGAAAAAAAAGAAUUCUGAUGCAAUUGAUCAUUUUUCUUCUUCAUUUCAUGAUGCUGCCACUUUAUUAGUGGAAAAGAUGGGGGCCAUUGGCGAACAAAUCAAUAGGAGUAUUGCCUCCGAUGUGGUAGUUCAACAAAAGUCAGAAGAAUUCCAGAUCAUCCAAGAAAAAGCUACAAAUUUAUAUUCAACCUUAUGUGAAAUAGAAGGUUUAACAGUGGAUGAGCGGUAUCGAGCAUUGAGUAAAAUUCCAGAUCAUCCAACUCAAAUGCUCGUUUUCUUUAGUUUACCUUCUGAUGUGUGGUUGGAAUGGGUCAGAAGAUUUCUUGCUGACCAUUAAACUUCUUAUUUCUGUUGAUGAUAUUUUCGUAACUUUUUUUGUUUGUAAUAUUUGGGACGGUAUGUCAUUACAAUCUUCUAACUUUUUUAUGUUGUAAAAUUGUAUAACAUAUGGAUUAUGACAUAAAAUUUCAUGAAUUUCAUUUAA
Gossypium raimondii (Peruvian cotton) is the source of this 1542-nucleotide long non-coding RNA. RefSeq lists it as uncharacterized. Lineage: Eukaryota; Viridiplantae; Streptophyta; Magnoliopsida; Malvales; Malvaceae. The transcript has 5 exons. The record is from RefSeq and is a predicted model, not a curated record.